RNAcentral lists this ribosomal RNA (1688 nucleotides) under Salmonella enterica subsp. enterica. RNAcentral's name for it is "partial 23S ribosomal RNA". It matches the Rfam family "Bacterial large subunit ribosomal RNA", at positions 1271 to 2925 of the family's 2925-position model. The record is from RNAcentral. Lineage: Bacteria; Pseudomonadati; Pseudomonadota; Gammaproteobacteria; Enterobacterales; Enterobacteriaceae.
UGCUGGAGGUAUCAGAAGUGCGAAUGCUGACAUAAGUAACGAUAAAGCGGGUGAAAAGCCCGCUCGCCGGAAGACCAAGGGUUCCUGUCCAACGUUAAUCGGGGCAGGGUGAGUCGACCCCUAAGGCGAGGCCGAAAGGCGUAGUCGAUGGGAAACGGGUUAAUAUUCCCGUACUUGGUGUUACUGCGAAGGGGGGACGGAGAAGGCUAUGUUGGCCGGGCGACGGUUGUCCCGGUUUAAGCGUGUAGGUGUGUGUUCCAGGUAAAUCCGGUUCACUUUAACACUGAGGCGUGAUGACGAGGCACUACGGUGCUGAAGCAACAAAUGCCCUGCUUCCAGGAAAAGCCUCUAAGCAUCAGGUAACAUCAAAUCGUACCCCAAACCGACACAGGUGGUCAGGUAGAGAAUACCAAGGCGCUUGAGAGAACUCGGGUGAAGGAACUAGGCAAAAUGGUGCCGUAACUUCGGGAGAAGGCACGCUGACAUGUAGGUGAAGUGAUUUACUCAUGGAGCUGAAGUCAGUCGAAGAUACCAGCUGGCUGCAACUGUUUAUUAAAAACACAGCACUGUGCAAACACGAAAGUGGACGUAUACGGUGUGACGCCUGCCCGGUGCCGGAAGGUUAAUUGAUGGGGUCAGCGCAAGCGAAGCUCCUGAUCGAAGCCCCGGUAAACGGCGGCCGUAACUAUAACGGUCCUAAGGUAGCGAAAUUCCUUGUCGGGUAAGUUCCGACCUGCACGAAUGGCGUAAUGAUGGCCAGGCUGUCUCCACCCGAGACUCAGUGAAAUUGAACUCGCUGUGAAGAUGCAGUGUACCCGCGGCAAGACGGAAAGACCCCGUGAACCUUUACUAUAGCUUGACACUGAACAUUGAGCCUUGAUGUGUAGGAUAGGUGGGAGGCUUUGAAGCGUGGACGCCAGUCUGCGUGGAGCCGACCUUGAAAUACCACCCUUUAAUGUUUGAUGUUCUAACGUGGACCCGUAAUCCGGGUUGCGGACAGUGUCUGGUGGGUAGUUUGACUGGGGCGGUCUCCUCCUAAAGAGUAACGGAGGAGCACGAAGGUUGGCUAAUCCUGGUCGGACAUCAGGAGGUUAGUGCAAUGGCAUAAGCCAGCUUGACUGCGAGCGUGACGGCGCGAGCAGGUGCGAAAGCAGGUCAUAGUGAUCCGGUGGUUCUGAAUGGAAGGGCCAUCGCUCAACGGAUAAAAGGUACUCCGGGGAUAACAGGCUGAUACCGCCCAAGAGUUCAUAUCGACGGCGGUGUUUGGCACCUCGAUGUCGGCUCAUCACAUCCUGGGGCUGAAGUAGGUCCCAAGGGUAUGGCUGUUCGCCAUUUAAAGUGGUACGCGAGCUGGGUUUAGAACGUCGUGAGACAGUUCGGUCCCUAUCUGCCGUGGGCGCUGGAGAACUGAGGGGGGCUGCUCCUAGUACGAGAGGACCGGAGUGGACGCAUCACUGGUGUUCGGGUUGUCAUGCCAAUGGCACUGCCCGGUAGCUAAAUGCGGAAGAGAUAAGUGCUGAAAGCAUCUAAGCACGAAACUUGCCCCGAGAUGAGUUCUCCCUGAGACUUAAAGUCUCCUGAAGGAACGUUGAAGACGACGACGUUGAUAGGCCGGGUGUGUAAGCGCAGCGAUGCGUUGAGCUAACCGGUACUAAUGAACCGUGAGGCUUAACCUUACAACGCCGAAG